This 1771-nucleotide ribosomal RNA is filed under the name Salmonella enterica. RNAcentral describes it as "partial 23S ribosomal RNA". It matches the Rfam family "Bacterial large subunit ribosomal RNA", at positions 1180 to 2925 of the family's 2925-position model. Lineage: Bacteria; Pseudomonadati; Pseudomonadota; Gammaproteobacteria; Enterobacterales; Enterobacteriaceae. The record is from RNAcentral.
GCUAAACCAUGCACCGAAGCUGCGGCAGCGACGCUGAUGCGUUGUUGGGUAGGGGAGCGUUCUGUAAGCCUGCGAAGGUGGCCUGUGAGGGUUGCUGGAGGUAUCAGAAGUGCGAAUGCUGACAUAAGUAACGAUAAAGCGGGUGAAAAGCCCGCUCGCCGGAAGACCAAGGGUUCCUGUCCAACGUUAAUCGGGGCAGGGUGAGUCGACCCCUAAGGCGAGGCCGAAAGGCGUAGUCGAUGGGAAACGGGUUAAUAUUCCCGUACUUGGUGUUACUGCGAAGGGGGGACGGAGAAGGCUAUGUUGGCCGGGCGACGGUUGUCCCGGUUUAAGCGUGUAGGUGUGUGUUCCAGGUAAAUCCGGUUCACUUUAACACUGAGGCGUGAUGACGAGGCACUACGGUGCUGAAGCAACAAAUGCCCUGCUUCCAGGAAAAGCCUCUAAGCAUCAGGUAACAUCAAAUCGUACCCCAAACCGACACAGGUGGUCAGGUAGAGAAUACCAAGGCGCUUGAGAGAACUCGGGUGAAGGAACUAGGCAAAAUGGUGCCGUAACUUCGGGAGAAGGCACGCUGACACGUAGGUGAAGUGAUUUACUCAUGGAGCUGAAGUCAGUCGAAGAUACCAGCUGGCUGCAACUGUUUAUUAAAAACACAGCACUGUGCAAACACGAAAGUGGACGUAUACGGUGUGACGCCUGCCCGGUGCCGGAAGGUUAAUUGAUGGGGUCAGCGCAAGCGAAGCUCCUGAUCGAAGCCCCGGUAAACGGCGGCCGUAACUAUAACGGUCCUAAGGUAGCGAAAUUCCUUGUCGGGUAAGUUCCGACCUGCACGAAUGGCGUAAUGAUGGCCAGGCUGUCUCCACCCGAGACUCAGUGAAAUUGAACUCGCUGUGAAGAUGCAGUGUACCCGCGGCAAGACGGAAAGACCCCGUGAACCUUUACUAUAGCUUGACACUGAACAUUGAGCCUUGAUGUGUAGGAUAGGUGGGAGGCUUUGAAGUGUGGACGCCAGUCUGCAUGGAGCCGACCUUGAAAUACCACCCUUUAAUGUUUGAUGUUCUAACGUGGACCCGUGAUCCGGGUUGCGGACAGUGUCUGGUGGGUAGUUUGACUGGGGCGGUCUCCUCCUAAAGAGUAACGGAGGAGCACGAAGGUUGGCUAAUCCUGGUCGGACAUCAGGAGGUUAGUGCAAUGGCAUAAGCCAGCUUGACUGCGAGCGUGACGGCGCGAGCAGGUGCGAAAGCAGGUCAUAGUGAUCCGGUGGUUCUGAAUGGAAGGGCCAUCGCUCAACGGAUAAAAGGUACUCCGGGGAUAACAGGCUGAUACCGCCCAAGAGUUCAUAUCGACGGCGGUGUUUGGCACCUCGAUGUCGGCUCAUCACAUCCUGGGGCUGAAGUAGGUCCCAAGGGUAUGGCUGUUCGCCAUUUAAAGUGGUACGCGAGCUGGGUUUAGAACGUCGUGAGACAGUUCGGUCCCUAUCUGCCGUGGGCGCUGGAGAACUGAGGGGGGCUGCUCCUAGUACGAGAGGACCGGAGUGGACGCAUCACUGGUGUUCGGGUUGUCAUGCCAAUGGCACUGCCCGGUAGCUAAAUGCGGAAGAGAUAAGUGCUGAAAGCAUCUAAGCACGAAACUUGCCCCGAGAUGAGUUCUCCCUGAGACUUUAGGUCUCCUGAAGGAACGUUGAAGACGACGACGUUGAUAGGCCGGGUGUGUAAGCGCAGCGAUGCGUUGAGCUAACCGGUACUAAUGAACCGUGAGGCUUAACCUUACA